GGACAGGGAGGCUAGGGCGACCGAGGAUACGCCGAGGUCUAGUCCGGCUUGGCAGCGCGAGCUAGAGAGCUUGGCGAGCCGCGGGGCUGGGAAGUCAGGGUUUGGGGGCCAGGCCUGCCCUCUGGUGCUUUCGGCUCCUCGGGCCCCCGACUUUAAAGUGCUCAAGUUGGGGUCGGCGCCAUCAUGACGCCUGAGACUGUGAAGUACUACUCCAACAUACCUGUGCAGUGCAUGAUCUUCAUGCAUUCAUUGCUGAGGGAACUUCAAUUGCAGGUGGAUUUAAAAACAUGUGAAGAAAAUGUUAGUUACAAUUGAUAGAAGAACUAACUCACUCAAGAGCCUGAAGAAAGGAACAGAGCUUCUAGUAUGAGAUGCUGAGACCGUCUCACUGUGAAGGAUGUUCCCUGUCCAUUCUGAUAAGAGGGGGGCUGCACAGCUUGGACUGAUUCAUGUCUCUUGCUUGGAUCCUGCAACAUCUGGUCUACAGUGCAGGAAAUAAGUAAGGACAAUGUCAGAAACCUAAGAGCAGGAAAUUCCACGGGGUGAGAGUUAUACAUGGUCUAAUUCUCUAAGUCCUGCUUGUUCUGCCAGUGGGUUAGUGUGUUUUAAUAUCUUACGUUAAGAGCAGACAUUAUUUUUAAUAGUACAUCUCAUUUUCUCUCUAGGGAAAGCAGGAGAUAUGGUGCAUUCUGCAAGACUACAGCAGCAGCUUUCCAGGCACAGCCUAGUGGGCUGGAUAAUGUGCUAUCUCAAAACCAGAGCAAGGUCUACCCAGAGCCUUGAUAAUGGCUCCACAGGAUCAGAACAAUAUGCUCUCACACAAAACCCUUUUAAAACAAUACAUAUUUUAUGUCCCUUUAUCUAUAACUGAGGCUUUCCAAGGCAGAAUAAAUCCUGACGACUUUGUUAAUUAUAUAUUGAGGAUAUUGCAGAACUCAAGUGUAGGAAUAAAGCCAAGCCUCGACCAGAGAUACUCAACUGGAAUAUGGUACGUGCUCAGCAGCUACUCUGCUUUCUCUUCUGGUAUUUAUUUUGUCAAAUAACUUUCUCCACUUCUCCUGAGGUAUGGUGGUCUAAAGGUAUACACAUUCUUGUAUUUUGUAAUUAAUAAAGCUUUCAAAGCCACCCAUUAAAACCCAGAUACUAAUUCUAAAUAAUCAGAGAGGAUAAACAACACUCUAGUUUACACUAACGUUCAUUUGAUCAUCACUGUGAGACCAGGUAAGAUAAAAACCAUAUGAGGGUUGAGCGCUUAGGGCAGUGGGGUUUUUCUCAUGUUGUAACAUGCUCUCAGAUCUUAACACAACUGACUCCUUGACAGAAGUACCAUUCAUUCUAUAAAAACCCAGCACAUAUAUAGCACCACCUGCCAAACUUAAAGAUCUAAUCUGUCAAAAUCCAUAGUUCUGAGAAAGUUUCUAAAUUUACUAACUUUGCAUUUGGCUUCUGUAUUUUCCCUUCCAGCUAACUGUUCUUGUAAAUGGAAGUAUGUCAACUCAGGAUAUAAUCUUUGUGCUUAAAACCUCACCCUGGGAAAGACUUGCAGCUACACUGGGAUCCUGAACACACACAAUAUUUACUACCCUCCAGCCUGCUAUGACCUUCUAUUGGCUUAAACUUGUAGUCUUCUCUGGUAGAUAUCUCACAACAAUGAAAGGGGAAUCACCCAGGAUGAAAGUUGUCUAUACUUUAUGUCUCUACAUUGUGCUUUACAUAUUAUAAUUUCAGGGAGAUUACUAACUACUCAUGUGUUCAGAUUUAAAGUCAUUUUAAAACUUCUAUUCUAUAUUUCAAUAUCUAUUACCACUACUAUCCCCUCUCUAUAAUUUUGCUUCAAUUUGCAAAAGUGCGGUAUAUUUCUAUAAGUAAAAGUAGGCAGAACAUUUGCCUAUAGGAAUGUUCCUUGUAUCAACACUUGUGUUGUCUCUGCACAUGGGGCUAAGCAGCCAACAGUAUUGCCAUUCAUUAAAAGAUGGUUCUACCCUGUUUUGCUGUAGUGAGCACAUGAUCCCAUGCUGUGAACUGUAAAGUGGUAGGUACCAGAGAUGCUAAGUGAGAUUAGUAGCAGGACCUCCCUCUUAGAACCAAGCAAUAGUACUUGCAUUCUGCUCUCAGCUUGCUGACUAGUAUUUGCAAGGAUGCCUUAUAAAGACUACUGACCUCAGUUUGAUUCAAUCUGUUGGAUUCUAAUCUGUCUAUUUCCACUACAGUGCUUAGACAUGAUUUCACAUACCACUGUUAGACAAGAAGGAACUAUUAGGUAUAUAUUUUUAAAAAAAUUCCUUGAAAUAUUUUUCCAAAUCAAUAUUAUUUUAUUCUAUGCAAUUAUUCUAACACAUUUUAAGUCAAAAUACUGUUUCCAAAAAGUAAAUUACAUUUCCUAUUAAAACCUAAAAUGGCUAGGCACUGGAUUUGACUCACUGGUUAAGAGCACUGGCUAAUCCCCCAGAAAAUACAGGUUCAAUUCCCAGCACCCAGAUGGCAGCUCACAACUGUCUGUAAUUCCAGUUCUAAGGGAAUUGGCAUGCUCACAUAGACCUAAAUGCAGCUGAAACACCAAUGCACAUAAAAAUAAAUGAAUCUUAAAAAAUUACUUAAGUAAAACCCAAAAUGGGAUGUUUUCAGUAUUAUAUCUAUCACAAUGACAAGACUAACUUUAGGAGCAAAUGCUCUUGCUUUUUCUAUAAUAGUUCAAUCGUAAACCAUGUAUAUGUGUUAAAUAUAUUUAUAUAUAUAUUUAUUUAUUUAUAAUUUACAGAUGUACAUGAAAGUUUAGUUUAUAUUACAAAUAGAUGCUAGAUAUCUUAUUUUUCUUUAUAUAUAUGUGUAUAUAUAUGAAGAUAUAUAAAAGUUUAAUGUAGAUCAUAAGUAGAUAUAUGGUAUAUUUCUUACUUAUUGUCAGUAAUAAGGUAGUAUAGUUAUCUAAAUAUAUACACAGUUUUACUAGGAAGCUGUAGAAGUAACACUUUGUAACAGGCUUUAGAUUGUAGGAUAAAACUGUAAUUUUUCCUUAUCAGUCACACUAAUAGUCUCUGAAACAGUUUUUUCAGUUGUUAAAUGACAAAUAUGUUUUACAAGAAUGAAAAGUUUUAGCACAUAUUUGACAAUAAAUGAACAUGCUGAACAUUUCACACAUG
This 3137-nucleotide long non-coding RNA is filed under the name Mus pahari (shrew mouse). RNAcentral's name for it is "lncRNA (MGP_PahariEiJ_G0005874.1)". The record is from RNAcentral. Lineage: Eukaryota; Metazoa; Chordata; Mammalia; Rodentia; Muridae.